CGGGGGGUAGCGCAGGUUGGCAGCGCGCUUCGUUCGGGACGGAGAGGUCGUGGGUUCAAAUCCCGCCACCCCGA
This 74-nucleotide transfer RNA is filed under the name Streptomyces sp. NRRL F-4489. It matches the Rfam family "tRNA". From Rfam's summary of the family: Transfer RNA (tRNA) molecules are approximately 80 nucleotides in length. Their secondary structure includes four short double-helical elements and three loops (D, anti-codon, and T loops). The record is from Rfam by way of RNAcentral. Lineage: Bacteria; Bacillati; Actinomycetota; Actinomycetes; Kitasatosporales; Streptomycetaceae.